Salmo salar (Atlantic salmon) is the source of this 54-nucleotide non-coding RNA. The record is from Rfam. Lineage: Eukaryota; Metazoa; Chordata; Actinopteri; Salmoniformes; Salmonidae.
GACUGCAAUAACUGUAAGUCACUCUGGAUAAGAGUGUCUACUAAAUUGCUAAUA